UGGGGAAUAUUGCACAAUGGAGGGAACUCUGAUGCAGCGACGCCGCGUGAGGGAUGAAGGAAUUCGUUUCGUAAAACUCUGUUCUAUGGGAAGAAAAGGACUGUACCAUAGGAGAAAGCUCCGGCUAAAUACGUGCCAGCAGCCGCGGUAAUACGUAUGGAGCGAGCGUUGUCCGGAAUGAUUGGGCGUAAAGGGUGCGCAGGCGGCUUUACAAGUUGGAUGUGAAAUAUUGUGGCUCAACCACAAACGUGCAUCCAAAACUGCAAAGCUUGAGUUAAGGAGAGGUAAGUGGAAUUCCUGGUGUAGCGGUAGAAUGCGUAGAUAUCAGGAGGAAUACCGGUGGCGAAGGCGACUUACUGGACUUAUACUGACGCUCAGGCACGAAGGCGUGGGGAGCAAACAGG
This 404-nucleotide ribosomal RNA is filed under the name Fusobacteriota bacterium. RNAcentral's name for it is "Fusobacteria bacterium partial 16S ribosomal RNA". It matches the Rfam family "Bacterial small subunit ribosomal RNA", at positions 355 to 776 of the family's 1533-position model. The record is from RNAcentral. Lineage: Bacteria; Fusobacteriati; Fusobacteriota.